UUACCUUUUCAGUUCAUUUAUCAUCGACAUUUUUCCGUUUUCUGUAUACAUUUUUAUUUUAACUUUUCUGUAUAACAUUUUCGCUCCAAACUACUCAUAUGAUACCCCUCUUGGUCCCGUCUUCAUGAAAAUGUGAGUAUUGAUAGAAAUUGAUUCGCGCGCACGCAUCUUUGUCGACCGUUCUUUUUCUUAUUACCAAUGGAUACGGUUCAGUUUUGUACGUUUUAGUACAUUUUAGCACGGUUUAGUACCAUUUAGUACGCCGUUUAGUACGAUGUACUGUCUCCUAGAAUAGUUGGAAAUCGUUGGAAAAGUUCCAGAACCAUUUUUCUAGUUUUAGUACACUUUAGUACAUUUUAGUACCGUGCGCUGCAUAGCUAUGAUGAAGUACUAAAACUUUGCUCCAGUGACCACUAUCUUAUUUGCAACAGCUGUGGAUUUAUAGAGAAAGGUAUUGAAAAAAAAUGUGAAAGAUGACACAUAAAAUGGUAAAUUAGAAAUUUGCAAAUUUUUCCACUGAAAUGAGAUGUACUGGCUAGUAAGCUACCCUCAGCAUACAAAAAAUCGAAAAAAAAUAAUCAUAUUCCUAGAAGCACUGUAAAGCAAAAUUUUCGGUUUGCCAUUAAUUUUUCAUUAAAUCAAUACAUAUAUUUUCAAGAAGGGGGACCUGGGGGGAUACCAUAUAUAUGGUUGGAAAGGUAUUGACGAGUACUAUAAUUUAUCCCAAAGGAGUGAUGCCCUAUCGCUCAUAGGUCGGGAGUAAUGACCUUAGGUAGCCACGUGAGAUUUUCAUAUUCUCCCCCCAUAAACCCCGAUUCGGAAGACCCGGGGAGAAGUACACCUAUACUAUACUGUUUUGGAAAGGAGCAUAUGACUUUGCAUACUGGAGAGGCAUAUUUGUACCAAUGCACAUUUUGCUCUAAAACAUUCAGAUCUAGCGCGAAUAUGUACGCCCAUCGGAAACGAAAUCAUCCACGAGAAUAUGAAGAGAAAAUUUGUUUGGCCAAAAUGCAGAAAACCUAAUUUAUCCUCUAUCAUUUAAUUUAGAAGCAGGUGCUUUGUAGAAAGUGGAAACAUCAAUAUAAAAAACUUCUUAUUCUUAUCUAUUGCUUGGUUUGUUUUGAUGAUAAAAAAUAGAAUGUUUAUUCGUGAUUGACUUAUUUUAAUGACAGCAUAUUUUUUCUGUUCGAUUAAUUGAGAAGAAAAUAACAAUAAAAUUGUAUAAAUUGUGUUUUUUGAGUUUCUUAAA
Sitodiplosis mosellana (orange wheat blossom midge) is the source of this 1249-nucleotide long non-coding RNA. RefSeq lists it as uncharacterized. NCBI's taxonomy places the organism in Eukaryota, Metazoa, Arthropoda, Insecta, Diptera, Cecidomyiidae. The transcript is spliced from 2 exons. The record is from RefSeq and is a predicted model, not a curated record.